Ipomoea nil (Japanese morning glory) is the source of this 1998-nucleotide long non-coding RNA. RefSeq lists it as uncharacterized. The transcript has 5 exons. The record is from RefSeq and is a predicted model, not a curated record. Lineage: Eukaryota; Viridiplantae; Streptophyta; Magnoliopsida; Solanales; Convolvulaceae.
UAGAAACCAACACCGCCUCCCUAUUUCCCCGUCGACUUCCUCGCGUCUCUGCCCGAAACCCUCCUCCGUCGACACAAAUGGAAACCAAGCCAACCCUGGCACCACAAAACUAAAUCCAAGCUAUGCACGUCGAAAAAUUGUACAAUCUAAUUCCAUCACUUCUAGAUCUUUUAUCCAGUAGAAACCUUAAUCGAAUCCUUUGUGGUGAAAUGGCGCAACCGACAAAGAAGCUCUUCGACAUCAGCUCGUAAAACAUCCUACUCUAUCAGAUGAAUAGGCAAACUAUCAAGCAAACUAUCGAUCUGCAAAAAACGCACUAGGAUUUUGAAGCUAAAAACUAAUUGGAAAAGCUACGCACAAAGAAAUGAAGAUAAGUAUUCUAGUACAUAAUUUUCUACAUACCUAGCGAAAUUUUCAAAACUGUGCCGUUAAUAUUUGCAUGUACUAUUCCGAUUUUGAAAUAUGGCAAUCUUUAUGUGCUAAAUGUAUAUUUCUCUUCAAUUUCAAUUAAGUCAUUAAUUCUGUUAAUUUAUAGAAAUAUGAUACUUUGUUUAAGUCUUACUUUGAGUUUCACUUUCAGAAUAUGUAAUAUUUACUUACAUUCUUACAAUAAAUGUAUUAUUUUUUCCAUAUCAAAUUGCAAACUGCAAUUCAAUUUCAUAAAAACAUAAUUUCAACUAUUAUAUUACAAAUAAUAGGUUUUUAUUCAUGCUAUAAGAAAAAAUACUGCCUAAAACAUAGGUAAUUAUUUAAAUGAAAGUAUACCUUUAUUUCCAUGUUCAUGUUUUCUCUUGGAUGUACUUUUUGCAGAAUUCUCUAACUUCUUCAUUUGUGUAAUAUGCAACUUCCUAUCUGGCUUUAGAAAGAGGAAUUGGAAGGGAAAUGGCUCCAUCACACAUGAGAAAAUACCAAUUAUUUAUAAGUCCUUGAAAGAAUUGAUAAUAGCAAUAGAAUGAUUACCUAUUAAUAGACUUAUACUGAUUAGAUGACCCAUUUUAUUGGGAAUAUAGAAUUUGUGCAGAUUUGAUUUCAAUAUCAAUCUGCUCUAGUCAUUUGGUUCUCUGUUCAAUACAGUGGAAUUUGCACUUAUAACUGUUAUAUAUUUUAUAUAUUUAAUAGUUAAUAGUUUUUUGAAAAUAGUUAAUAGUUAGGACUUCAUAUUUAACAUUGGUGAGACAUGUCUUUUUUACCUUGAAAUCAUCCACUUUUCUGAAUUUUUGAUGUCAAUCCCCAAUAAUGGUUCAAUUAGGGUGCAACAUCCAUACUGUCCCAAUUGUUGAUUACUCAUGCUAUUUUUAUUUUUUUGCACGAGUCACAAAGACAUGAAGAUCACUGGACCACUGAGGACCUUUGCAGGCUAAAAACUGGAAGGAGCAAUUUUUUUUUUUUCUUUUCUUGCAUGAGUCCAAAUACAUGAAGAUGACUGGACUAUCAAGGAUCUUUGCAAGCUAAAAACUGGAAGGAAAAAAAUGAACUUGCAAUACUUGGACAAGUGUAUCAAAGCAUAAUUUUUUGGGCACUCAAAUGGAAAUCAAUACCACUGAAGUAAGGAGGGCAUCUCACAAAGUAAAUCAAGGAAUCUGGCCAAGCAGGACGAAUGACAAUUGAAACCCACUCAUACCAAAUGGAAAAGCUGUAAGUUAAAGAAGAACACAUGUAUUAGGAAGCAAAUGUCAGGUAACUACGAACCAGCUUUACACACAUAGCCUUCUUUGUUUGCCCUUGACGGAUUUCAGAACCAAGCAUGAACUGCUCAACCAUGGUGAAAAAGAAGAGAACAAUGUAGAUGAAGAGAUGCAAGAUAAUGCGAAUACGGAAGGAGAACUACAUCCACUGCCUAUUUAUAUAGGGAUUAGAUGUAAAUAAAAAAAACUCAUGAUUUCAUUUUCACACAUGGGCCGAGAAACAUCUGGAAAACACAACUAUACACAAUAACCUAAGUGUUUUUACUCACUAUUAAUUGCAAUAUUUAAAACCAAGAGAAGAAACAUUGGAAAU